Molecule: transfer RNA, 65 nt
Filed under: Dipodomys ordii (Ord's kangaroo rat)
Lineage: Eukaryota; Metazoa; Chordata; Mammalia; Rodentia; Heteromyidae
Rfam family: tRNA
About the family: Transfer RNA (tRNA) molecules are approximately 80 nucleotides in length. Their secondary structure includes four short double-helical elements and three loops (D, anti-codon, and T loops). Further hydrogen bonds mediate the characteristic L-shaped molecular structure. tRNAs have two regions of fundamental functional importance: the anti-codon, which is responsible for specific mRNA codon recognition, and the 3' end, to which the tRNAs corresponding amino acid is attached (by aminoacyl-tRNA synthetases). tRNAs cope with the degeneracy of the genetic code in two manners: having more than one tRNA (with a specific anti-codon) for a particular amino acid; and 'wobble' base-pairing, i.e. permitting non-standard base-pairing at the 3rd anti-codon position.
Source: Rfam by way of RNAcentral
GGUGGCUCAGUGGUAGAGUGCUUGCCUUGCAUGCAUGAGGCCUUGGGUUCGAUUCCCUAGCACCA